GGGCCGGUGGUCUAGUGGUAUGACAUCGCCUUGACGUGGCGAGGGUCGCAGGUUCGAUCCCUGCUCGGCCCACCA
RNAcentral lists this transfer RNA (75 nucleotides) under Candidatus Bathyarchaeota archaeon. RNAcentral's name for it is "tRNA-Val". It matches the Rfam family "tRNA". Rfam says of the family: Transfer RNA (tRNA) molecules are approximately 80 nucleotides in length. Their secondary structure includes four short double-helical elements and three loops (D, anti-codon, and T loops). Further hydrogen bonds mediate the characteristic L-shaped molecular structure. tRNAs have two regions of fundamental functional importance: the anti-codon, which is responsible for specific mRNA codon recognition, and the 3' end, to which the tRNAs corresponding amino acid is attached (by aminoacyl-tRNA synthetases). tRNAs cope with the degeneracy of the genetic code in two manners: having more than one tRNA (with a specific anti-codon) for a particular amino acid; and 'wobble' base-pairing, i.e. permitting non-standard base-pairing at the 3rd anti-codon position. RNAcentral also lists the same sequence under 1 other name. The record is from RNAcentral. Lineage: Archaea; Thermoproteati; Candidatus Bathyarchaeota.